Molecule: transfer RNA, 64 nt
Filed under: Chaleponcus netus
Lineage: Eukaryota; Metazoa; Arthropoda; Diplopoda; Spirostreptida; Odontopygidae
Description: tRNA-Tyr
Source: RNAcentral
AUUGAUGUGGCUGAAUAUAAGCGGUAAAUUGUAAAUUUAUUUAUAAUAGGGAUAUUCAUCAUUA